RNAcentral lists this ribosomal RNA (161 nucleotides) under Homalomena clandestina. Its description in RNAcentral is "5.8S ribosomal RNA". The record is from RNAcentral. Lineage: Eukaryota; Viridiplantae; Streptophyta; Magnoliopsida; Alismatales; Araceae.
CGGGACGACGAACCUCCCGGCGCGGCCUGCGCCAAGGAUCACGUACUGGGGCCGCCCGCGUACGGGCCUCGCUCUUAGCGGGGAGGUGCGCGGUGUCGGUCGCCACGAACGAGUCUCCGAACGACUCCCGGCAACGGAUAUCUGGGCUCUCGCAUCGAUGA